Molecule: long non-coding RNA, 706 nt
Organism: Drosophila sulfurigaster albostrigata
Lineage: Eukaryota; Metazoa; Arthropoda; Insecta; Diptera; Drosophilidae
Exons: 3
Source: RefSeq, a predicted model, not a curated record
UACAAAAGUAUUUCUUAAAUAACUUCGACUAUUUGAUCGCAACAAAAUUUUCAUGAAUCAGAAAAAUUUGAAAUAUUGCAAAUAUACUACUAAUAUGCCUCAGCAUUUAAAGCUUAGCUAUGUAUUAAAGCUUGUCAAUAUUGCUUCCUUAUUGGCACUUCGGCGGAUGCUGAAUGGCGGAUGCUACUUCUACAGAAAAGAAAAAUAGGUGAACUACUUCGCGUCUAUUCAUUUGUUACGGACUGUUUGUCCUCCAUGGGUCGCGCCGGCUGGCUCAUCGGUACUCAGGAGGAGUUCCAUCCCUGGCCCGCAGUCCGCACAAUCGAUAACUCCACCGAAACGAAACAGCUGCUUUAAAACAGAAGAAAUGCAUCACAAAACAAAACAGCUGCCGCGCAAUUGAAAAUUGCGCCAAACAAAAAGGAAAUACGAAAAAACACGGGCCCAGUUGGACCCCGGCGUACCUCUCUGCCAGAGAUGGCCACAUCGGCGCCAUCUCCUUGCGUUGGCCACUAUAUCAGUGGCUGCGGCGUAGCGCUGUGGAAUUCCUCCCUUCAUGAUGAGAAAACUCACACAACCAUGUUCAACAUUUUUAUAGAUAUUUGAAUUUCAAUACGGAACAGGAUUCGAAGCAAAAGCAAACAACAAAACAAACAAAGCGAAACAACAAAGAAAUAACAACGGAGUAGGGACAAUUUAUGUGGUA